UUAAAACUUAGCGCUUUGCUCCGCCUGGGCAGGCGUGCACCACGUGACCCACAGCCCCUUUCACUUAGUCAUCUUUCAGGCAGAAUGUUGUGCUUUUUACUGACGUUCCUGUGAACUGAGAGGAAACAACAACAUGGCGGCCUUCGUGUUACUGAGCCUGGCUCCCUGCACUACCCUGGUGGACACCAGGAAACCUACAGAUCCCGGGUCCUGUGUCGAUGACUGAACCCGGACAAGCAGUUAAGACUCAAAGCAGAUCUACUCCACGCACCUGGAGUUAAGAGUUUGAGCAAGCACAAGUACGUCCCCAGGCCUGGCCUCGAACCGCGAUCCUCCCGCUCUCUGCCUCCUGAGCAGCUGGGAUUACAGGCGUGAGCGCCGGCACCCAGCUUGAAUUCGUCGCUCUGAGGACUAGGACUUGUCCCCACAGGGAAAACCCAGUCCCAAACUGGAAAAAUGGGUUUGCCCCUUGGUCCUCACCAACCUGACCUCCCAGGUGGAAUCUGACUGCAGACAGACAGAC
Molecule: non-coding RNA, 523 nt
Organism: Castor canadensis (American beaver)
Lineage: Eukaryota; Metazoa; Chordata; Mammalia; Rodentia; Castoridae
Source: RefSeq, a predicted model, not a curated record